This 132-nucleotide small nucleolar RNA is filed under the name Opisthocomus hoazin. Its description in RNAcentral is "Small nucleolar RNA SNORA3/SNORA45 family". It matches the Rfam family "Small nucleolar RNA SNORA3/SNORA45 family". Rfam says of the family: The members of this family belong to the H/ACA class of snoRNAs which are thought to guide the sites of modification of uridines to pseudouridines. This family includes mouse snoMBI-28 and human homologues ACA3 (SNORA3) and ACA3-2 (SNORA45). The record is from Rfam by way of RNAcentral. Lineage: Eukaryota; Metazoa; Chordata; Aves; Opisthocomiformes; Opisthocomidae.
AUCGAGACUUGAGUCACACCUUAACAUGUUUGAUUGUCUUGGUGUGCUAUAGCUCUCGGACAUAAACUUCUGAUCUUUGUUCGCUGGCUGCGACGUCUCGUGCCUCAGCCAGCCACCGAGUCAGUGACACUG